Non-coding RNA from Parastrongyloides trichosuri, 72 nucleotides. Lineage: Eukaryota; Metazoa; Nematoda; Chromadorea; Rhabditida; Strongyloididae. The record is from Rfam.
UCUCUGGUAGUAUAGUGGUGAGUAUCCGCGCCUGUCACGUGCGAGACCGGGGUUCGAUUCCCCGCCAGAGAG